UGGUAGAAUGUUCCUCUGUAUGGGUUGAAGUUUUUUGUUGGUUUUUUUUUUUUUUUUUUUGAAAUUGCAGGGCAGUACCUUGUGUAGUAUGGCUGUCUCAACUGUGAUAUUUAGGAGUUAGUGUUUCAGUUUUUUGGGGUGUUCUUAUUUUGGGCUUCGUUUCUUUGCCGCAAAUGUUUUGGAUGCGGAUUCCUGUUGAGACUGUGGCACCAUUAUCUUCAACCUGUUGUCACACAGAAAUGGGGAGAAGGUCCUUGUGCAUUUUCCAGAGACAUGUCUACCAGCUGGACUUGGAAUCCCUCAGUUCUAGAUGGCCAGAACAACUAACUUGAGAAAUUGAAAACAUUCUACAGGAGGACGGGCAAGUCUUUAUCCGUUCAUCUACUGAUUGUGAGUAUUCUUAGAGAGGCUUACACUGGCAGCACACACUUCUGUGUUAUUGCCUUACUGGAGUCUGAGAAGUCUGUAUCUUUUUGCCUCUUGUGUUUCCUGCAUGGAGUGCAUUUCUCCUCAGAUUCCUGUGUUGCCAUUUCAUAGUCAGCUCCCUCUGCCUGAAGGAGCUAAGACCUCCCUUGAAUUUCAAGUGCUUCACUAAAUGCUCCUGUCAGGCAGCUUCUGAUAGACUCCUGUGAUGCCCCUUUGAGAGGAGGCCACUGACAAGAGGCUGCUCUUGAGAGAAGAGAGAAACUAUUAUUUCACUACUGAUAUGGGGCUUAAGAAAAAGAAUCCAUCUCAUCCUUCCACUCAAUAUAAAAAACCACCAUGAAAAGUCAUUCUGUAUUUUCAGUUUUCAACAGGACUGCAUUAAAAAAAAGUUGCUUGUUCAUUCAUUUUAAUGAUAGCAGCUGGUAAAGGGAGGUUCUCAUGUGUCAGCAUCCUAACAGUGUUUUUCAGGUAACUUAUAUUAACCUAAUUGAACUAAUACAUCUUAAAAAGGAAUCUGUUUUGCCCGCCAAGACAGGAAUAUAACAGCAACUAAUUCACUGCAUAGCUGGAAAAUAACAGAACAUCAAAUGCUUUGGGAGCCAGUGAAUGUUACUUUUGCAGAUGUUCUUACACAAGCAGCUAAGCUGUAUGGGCAGACGGAUACUUGCAGAAAAUUAAAUUGCCACAAGGUGGUGAAGACAAGGCUGGCAUUAUUCACAGGUAUUGAAUGGUGAUCAGUAAAGCUGGCCUCACCUUUUAGACUUUUUCAGCUGGAGUAAUUUAUCAUCAGCUGAUGUGCAGGGAGACUUGCUUUACUAAAAAAGCAAUAAAUCUUUUUUGUCUGUACUAAAGUAUAAAAAUGGAUAUUCCAGAAUUAAUUAAUUUUAACUUGGGAUUAAACUUGGGUCAUACUGAUAGUA
Molecule: long non-coding RNA, 1346 nt
Organism: Passer domesticus (house sparrow)
Lineage: Eukaryota; Metazoa; Chordata; Aves; Passeriformes; Passeridae
Exons: 4
Source: RefSeq, a predicted model, not a curated record